This 428-nucleotide ribosomal RNA is filed under the name uncultured bacterium. RNAcentral describes it as "bacterial SSU rRNA". It matches the Rfam family "Bacterial small subunit ribosomal RNA", at positions 8 to 448 of the family's 1533-position model. The record is from RNAcentral.
AGAGUUUGAUCCUGGCUCAGAAUCAACGCUGGCGGCGCGCUUAACACAUGCAAGUCGCACGAGAAAGCAGUAGCAAUACUGUGAGUAAAGUGGCGUACGGGUGAGUAACACGUGGAUCAUCUACCUUCUAGUGGGGAAUACCCCCGGGAAACUGGGGACAAUACCGCAUAAGCUCGUAAGAGGAAAGCAGCAAUGCGCUGGAAGAGGAGUCCGCGGCUGAUUAGCUAGUUGGCGGGGUAAUGGCCCACCAAGGCGAAGAUCGGUAGCCGGCCUGAGAGGGCACACGGCCACACUGGCACUGAAACACGGGCCAGACUCCUACGGGAGGCAGCAGUGGGGAAUCUUGCACAAUGGAGGAAACUCUGAUGCAGCGACGCCGCGUGAGCGAUGAAGCCCCUCGGGGUGUAAAGCUCUUUCGACGGGAACGA